Molecule: transfer RNA, 65 nt
Filed under: Corythucha marmorata
Lineage: Eukaryota; Metazoa; Arthropoda; Insecta; Hemiptera; Tingidae
Description: tRNA-Glu
Source: RNAcentral
AUUUAUGUAGUUUAAAUCAAAAAACAUAUCAUUUUCAAUGAUAAAAUAAAGUAUUUUCAUAAAUU